RNAcentral lists this ribosomal RNA (1506 nucleotides) under metagenome. Its description in RNAcentral is "bacterial SSU rRNA". It matches the Rfam family "Bacterial small subunit ribosomal RNA". The record is from RNAcentral.
AGAGUUUGAUCCUGGCUCAGGACGAACGCUGGCGGCGUGCCUAAUACAUGCAAGUAGAACGCUGAAGAGAGGAGCUUGCUCUUCUUGGAUGAGUUGCGAACGGGUGAGUAACGCGUAGGUAACCUGCCUUGUAGCGGGGGAUAACUAUUGGAAACGAUAGCUAAUACCGCAUAACAAUGGAUGACCCAUGUCAUUUAUUUGAAAGGGGCAAAUGCUCCACUACAAGAUGGACCUGCGUUGUAUUAGCUAGUAGGUGAGGUAACGGCUCACCUAGGCGACGAUACAUAGCCGACCUGAGAGGGUGAUCGGCCACACUGGGACUGAGACACGGCCCAGACUCCUACGGGAGGCAGCAGUAGGGAAUCUUCGGCAAUGGGGGCAACCCUGACCGAGCAACGCCGCGUGAGUGAAGAAGGUUUUCGGAUCGUAAAGCUCUGUUGUAAGUCAAGAACGAGUGUGAGAGUGGAAAGUUCACACUGUGACGGUAGCUUACCAGAAAGGGACGGCUAACUACGUGCCAGCAGCCGCGGUAAUACGUAGGUCCCGAGCGUUGUCCGGAUUUAUUGGGCGUAAAGCGAGCGCAGGCGGUUUGAUAAGUCUGAAGUUAAAGGCUGUGGCUCAACCAUAGUUCGCUUUGGAAACUGUCAAACUUGAGUGCAGAAGGGGAGAGUGGAAUUCCAUGUGUAGCGGUGAAAUGCGUAGAUAUAUGGAGGAACACCGGUGGCGAAAGCGGCUCUCUGGUCUGUAACUGACGCUGAGGCUCGAAAGCGUGGGGAGCGAACAGGAUUAGAUACCCUGGUAGUCCACGCCGUAAACGAUGAGUGCUAGGUGUUGGAUCCUUUCCGGGAUUCAGUGCCGCAGCUAACGCAUUAAGCAGUCCGCCUGGGGAGUACGACCGCAAGGUUGAAACUCAAAGGAAUUGACGGGGGCCCGCACAAGCGGUGGAGCAUGUGGUUUAAUUCGAAGCAACGCGAAGAACCUUACCAGGUCUUGACAUCCCGAUGCUAUUUCUAGAGAUAGAAAGUUACUUCGGUACAUCGGUGACAGGUGGUGCAUGGUUGUCGUCAGCUCGUGUCGUGAGAUGUUGGGUUAAGUCCCGCAACGAGCGCAACCCCUAUUGUUAGUUGCCAUCAUUCAGUUGGGCACUCUAGCGAGACUGCCGGUAAUAAACCGGAGGAAGGUGGGGAUGACGUCAAAUCAUCAUGCCCCUUAUGACCUGGGCUACACACGUGCUACAAUGGUUGGUACAACGAGUUGCGAGUCGGUGACGGCAAGCUAAUCUCUUAAAGCCAAUCUCAGUUCGGAUUGUAGGCUGCAACUCGCCUACAUGAAGUUGGAAUCGCUAGUAAUCGCGGAUCAGCACGCCGCGGCGAAUACGUUCCCGGGCCUUGUACACACCGCCCGUCACACCACGAGAGUUUGUAACACCCGAAGUCGGUGAGGUAACCUUUUGGAGCCAGCCGCCUAAGGUGGGAUAGAUGAUUGGGGUGAAGUCGUAACAAGGUA